CCCCGCUCUGGGCCCGGCUGGCGUUGCUGAGUGCUCGGAGUUACCUGAGCCCGCGCUGUAGGGGUGACCCUCACCCACCGCGGGAGUUGCUAAUGUCGGUGACAUGGAUGCUGUGAUAGGUCAGAUCUUUGCCUUGGAAUGAAAUUCUUUUGAUAAAGUCACUUAGAGGAGACAGAAUCUGCACUGAAAUCUCUGUUUGGUGAGGUCACAGUUUCUGCUGCUUUCCUGCUCUUGCAAAUCUCGAGCACCCGCUUCUGCCCUGUUUUCAGACAGAAUGAUGUGUUUACUGCUAUCGCCUCAAAAAACUUUGAACCACCUCGCCAGGCUUCAGCCUGCACGCAGCCGUGUUUAAACAUUACCAGGAGAAAAGACACCUUUGGAGAUUCCAUCAGCCUCAUGUUCAUCCAGAGGUGUGCUCUGCAAGAACCAAGCUUCACAUACAGAUUUUAAGGAAUCUUUGUUUUUAUUCUCUUCCAAGUUUACGGAAACCUGAAGAAGGCUCAGACCAGGUCACGUGCGGUUAGGAGCUACAUGAAAGCUUGAUAUUGCGGCCCACUGGCCCCCUAGCCCUCCUUCCCCCAUCCCAAGUUUAAGGCAGCCAGGAACAAAAACAAACUAGGUGGCCAACUUGAUAAGGGUUUUAAUUUUUUUUGUUUUUUCUGAAAUGUCUUUGUCAGAUUUAGUACAAGGAACAUUCUCCCUUAUAUAUGUGUAAAAUACCCUGCCAUAUGUUAUUUCUGAAAGCACAUGUGUGAGAUUGCAAUCUUUUCUUACCUAAAUGUUUAACAGAGCUCAGAGGGAAGAUGUAGAUGACAAAUUCAAUUUCUUUAAUAGAUACGGGAUCUGUCAAAAUUUUUUAUUUCAUCUUGUAUCAGUUUUAGUAAGGUGUAUUGUUCAAGGAAUGUGUUCUUCCUUCUAAACUGUUGAAUUUAUUACAUAUUAUUUGUUCUGGGAUUUGUAAUAAAUUCACAUAUUUAUUCUUGCUAUUGGUGAUUUCUCUCAUUUUUUUCUUAAUCAAUUUAUCUAAUGUUUAUCAACUUUUUUAUCUUUUCCCCAAGAAAACCCUAAAAUGUUUUAUCUGUGUUCAUAUUCUCUAUAAUUUGUCUGUUUUCUAUUUCAGUGAUUUCUCCUCUUAUCUUUAUUAUUUCCUUCCUUCUACUUACUUGGGAUAUACUUUGCUCUCGUUUCUCUAGGUCUUACUGUGGAAACUAAAGUCAUUUAUUGUAUACCUUUCUUUUUUCCUGUCUUAGCAUUUAAAAGCUAUAAACUUUUCUCUAAGCGUUACUUUAACUGUACCCCAGAAAUUUUGCUAUGUAAUAUUUUCAUUAUCAUCAGGUUUGAAAUAUUUCUAGUGUGUCUUGCAACUUUUUUCUUCAGUCUUUGAAUUAUUAGUAAGCAUGUUCUUUGAUUUCCAAAGAUAAGGAGUAUAUCACCCCUUAGAUAUCUUAAUGUUCUCAGUUUCUAAUUUAAUUCCCCUGUGGUCAGAAAACAUUGUCUUAUUCCAGUCCUCUUAUAACAAAUGUAUUGAGACUAGUUUUAUGGACCAUAAUGGUUUAUUUCAGUAAACAUAACAUGUGCACUUGAAAAUAAUGUUUAUCCUGUGAUUAUUUGGCAUCGUGUUCUAUAAAUGACAAUUAGGUCAAAGAGAUUGAUAGUGUCAUUCAAAUCUUGUACCCAUUCCUCCUCUGGAUUGCUGAGAGAGUGGUGUUAAAAUCUCCAACUAUCUUUAUGAAUUUGUCUCUUUUUCUCUAUAAUUCUGUUACCUUUUCACCUCAUGCUUUUUGAACCUCUUUUAUUAGGCACGUAGACAUGUAUGACUCUUAACAUCUUUUUGAAAAUUUAUCCUUUCAUUAUUAUAGUAUAUCUGUCUUUAUCUCUGGUAAUACUCUUUGUCUUAACAUCUAUUAUAUCUAAUGUUGAUGUAACCACUCCAACCCCCUUAGACUGUUUGCAGUACCAUCAUUUAUUUUCAACAUAUCUGUAUUGUUAAAGUUCAUCUUUGUGGAGAAACUAUGUCUGGUCCUAAUUUCUUAUCUUUUCUGAGAAUUUCUGAUUACUGGUUGGAAGUGUUUAGUUUAUUUACAUUUAAUCCAACUAUUGAUAUGGUUGAGUUUAGAACAACAGGUUUUUUAAUGUUUUCUAUUGGUCCUGUCUGAUUUUUGUUUGUUUGUCUUUUUGAUUCUCUGUUCCUACUUUCUUAAUUUAUUUAGGCUUAAUUGAAUCUUUUUGAGAAUUCCUUGUUAAUAGAUUUUGGCUUUUUAGUUAUACCACUUUGUAUUGUUUCAAAAGAUUUCUUCCUGAUACUGAAGAAAAUGUAAGCUAUCUGCUCUUACCACUCCUAAUCAGUGUCAUACUAAUGUUCUUACCUAGUGUAAGAAGGCAAGAAAAAGAAGUAAAAUGACAUGCAGAUUGGAAAGGAAUAAAACUCUUCUACUUACAAAUGACAUAUUAUCUACAUAGAAAAUUCCAUAAUGUAUAAAAAUGUUAUACAAAUUUUAAUUUAGUUUAGAAGAUUUUAGGAUACAGGUCAAUUGUAUUUCUAUACCCUAGUAAUGACUAAUUGGAAAAUGGAAUUUAAAAAAACAAUAUCAUCUACAGUAGAAUAAAAAAAAUGAAAUAUUUAGACAUAAUUCUAAUAAAAUAUUUAUACAAUCUCUGUGUUAAAACUAAAAAACACUGAUGCAAUAAAUGAAAGAGUG
Nycticebus coucang (slow loris) is the source of this 2699-nucleotide long non-coding RNA. RefSeq lists it as uncharacterized. The record is from RefSeq and is a predicted model, not a curated record. The transcript has 4 exons. NCBI's taxonomy places the organism in Eukaryota, Metazoa, Chordata, Mammalia, Primates, Lorisidae.